Molecule: ribosomal RNA, 252 nt
Filed under: uncultured bacterium
Lineage: Bacteria
Description: partial 16S ribosomal RNA
Rfam family: Bacterial small subunit ribosomal RNA
Source: RNAcentral
ACGGAGGGUGCAAGCGUUGUCCGGAAUCACUGGGUGUAAAGGGUGUGUAGGCGGGACCGUAAGUCAGAGGUGAAAUCCUGCAGCUCAACUGUAGAACUGCCUUUGAUACUGCGGCUCUUGAAUCUCGGAGAGGUCAUUAGAAUUCGUGGUGUAGCGGUGAAAUGCGUAGAUAUCACGAGGAAUACCAGAGGCGUAGGCGGAUGACUGGACGAGUAUUGACGCUGAGGCACGAAAGCGUGGGGAGCAAACAGG